GCCUUUGUGCUGUAAUGGUCAGCACGCUCGACGCGUAACCGAGAUGUCCGUGGUUCGAUUCCCGGCGAGGGCA
RNAcentral lists this transfer RNA (73 nucleotides) under Stegodyphus mimosarum. It matches the Rfam family "tRNA". From Rfam's summary of the family: Transfer RNA (tRNA) molecules are approximately 80 nucleotides in length. Their secondary structure includes four short double-helical elements and three loops (D, anti-codon, and T loops). Lineage: Eukaryota; Metazoa; Arthropoda; Arachnida; Araneae; Eresidae. The record is from Rfam by way of RNAcentral.